RNAcentral lists this transfer RNA (75 nucleotides) under Oscillospiraceae bacterium. RNAcentral's name for it is "tRNA-Asn". It matches the Rfam family "tRNA". From Rfam's summary of the family: Transfer RNA (tRNA) molecules are approximately 80 nucleotides in length. Their secondary structure includes four short double-helical elements and three loops (D, anti-codon, and T loops). Lineage: Bacteria; Bacillati; Bacillota; Clostridia; Eubacteriales; Oscillospiraceae. The record is from RNAcentral. RNAcentral also lists the same sequence under 1 other name.
GCCUUAUUAGCUCAGUGGAAGAGCGUCCGGCUGUUAACCGGAAGCGCGUUGGUUCAAAUCCAACAUAAGGCUCCA